GUCGUCAAAUUCACAGGAAACAUCCUUGGGACACAUACCUUGGACACGUUCAAAGAUGGCUAACCUUGAACUAAUUUAAGUAGUCAAAAGGUCACAUUCUGUUUCCUAUUUUUAUGUUCAUACAGCCACGGGUAUUGCAAUUAGCAUUGCGUUA
Thalassophryne amazonica is the source of this 154-nucleotide long non-coding RNA. RefSeq lists it as uncharacterized. The transcript is spliced from 3 exons. Lineage: Eukaryota; Metazoa; Chordata; Actinopteri; Batrachoidiformes; Batrachoididae. The record is from RefSeq and is a predicted model, not a curated record.